RNAcentral lists this small nucleolar RNA (83 nucleotides) under Arabidopsis lyrata subsp. lyrata. The record is from RNAcentral. Lineage: Eukaryota; Viridiplantae; Streptophyta; Magnoliopsida; Brassicales; Brassicaceae.
UGAGGGCAUUGAUGAUUAAAACCAGUUCUGCUUCAGAUAAUUCUUGAUAGAAGAACCUGUAUACCAAAAAAUCUGAGCCUUUU